This 77-nucleotide transfer RNA is filed under the name Clostridium perfringens. RNAcentral describes it as "tRNA-Met". It matches the Rfam family "tRNA". Rfam says of the family: Transfer RNA (tRNA) molecules are approximately 80 nucleotides in length. Their secondary structure includes four short double-helical elements and three loops (D, anti-codon, and T loops). The record is from RNAcentral. Lineage: Bacteria; Bacillati; Bacillota; Clostridia; Eubacteriales; Clostridiaceae.
AGCAGGAUGUAGCAAUAGGUAGCUUUCAAGAUUCAUUAUCUUUGAGGUUGAGGGUUCGAAUCCCUCUCCUGCACCCA